Molecule: ribosomal RNA, 481 nt
Filed under: uncultured bacterium
Lineage: Bacteria
Description: bacterial SSU rRNA
Rfam family: Bacterial small subunit ribosomal RNA
Source: RNAcentral
GAUGAACGCUAGCGGCAGGCUUAAUACAUGCAAGUCAAGGGGGUAGCAAUACAACCGGCGCACGGGUGAGUAACGCGUACACAACAUGCCAUAUACUGGGGUAUAGCUUUGGGAAACUGAAGGUAAUCCCCCAUAACAUUGCGAGAGGGCAUCUGAUUGCAAUUAAAGUUUCGGCGGUAUAUGAUUGGUGUGCGUUUGAUUAGCUAGUUGGUAGGGUAACGGCCUACCAAGGCGACGAUCAAUAGCUGGCGUGAGAGCGCGACCAGCCACACUGGAACUGAGACACGGUCCAGACUCCUACGGGAGGCAGCAGUAGGGAAUAUUGGACAAUGGAGGAAACUCUGAUCCAGCCAUGCCGCGUGAUAGAUGAAGGCCCUCUGGGUUGUAAAUAUCUUUUAUCUGGGAGAAACUCCUCUAUUCUUAGAGGCCUGACGGUACCAGAGGAAUAAGCACCGGCUAACUCCGUGCCAGCAGCCGCGGU